AAAUUGAAGAGUUUGAUCAUGGCUCAGAUUGAACGCUGGCGGCAGGCCUAACACAUGCAAGUCGAGCGGAAACGAGUUAACUGAACCUUCGGGGGACGUUAACGGCGUCGAGCGGCGGACGGGUGAGUAAUGCCUAGGAAAUUGCCCUGAUGUGGGGGAUAACCAUUGGAAACGAUGGCUAAUACCGCAUGAUGCCUACGGGCCAAAGAGGGGGACCUUCGGGCCUCUCGCGUCAGGAUAUGCCUAGGUGGGAUUAGCUAGUUGG
Molecule: ribosomal RNA, 265 nt
Filed under: Vibrio natriegens NBRC 15636 = ATCC 14048 = DSM 759
Lineage: Bacteria; Pseudomonadati; Pseudomonadota; Gammaproteobacteria; Vibrionales; Vibrionaceae
Description: partial 16S ribosomal RNA
Rfam family: Bacterial small subunit ribosomal RNA
Source: RNAcentral